CUUUCUGACUGUUCUUUUUCCCUUCUUGUCUCAUGAUGGUGAAGGAAAAGUAUAUAGUCUUUAUUUUUAAAGUUGAUUAGUUUUAGUCUUAUUGCCUUCAGGUGAAAGCAAAACAUUUUCAGUAUGCAUAUAUAGGGCAAUACCUUAUAAAUUUGAAGCCAGCAAACAUUGCAGUUAUUUUUGAAGUUGAUUGGUCGUAGUUCUUAUUGCGUUUGGGUAAUAGGAAAUCAUUUUUGGUACAUCCAUUUGCAUAGGGGCAACACCAACAAGAAAUGCAUAGGGAAAUACCUUAUAAAUGCAAAAUCUGCAAAAUAUGAAAGGGGCCAUUACUACUACUACAACAGCAGCAGCAGCAGCACAAACCUUAAUCCAUUCUGUUGGAGAAGAUAGAUAAAAGAAAAGGAAGAUUGAUUUAAAGCUAUAGACAAGUGGAUAAGAAGAUAAGAUUGGUAUGAGAAAAGAUCAGAACAAUUAAAACUAAGAUGAUAAAGGGAAGAAAGGAUGAAGCAGAUCUCAAAAACAGAUUAGGGAAUCCAAGUUCAAAUUCCUUCAAAUUUGUAAAGUAGUAUGUUCAAAUUUGUUGUAAUCUAUUUCUGUAAUUUAUGAGAGUUUUUAGGAUAUUUUUGUAUAUAUAAUUCACCAUUCGGAUCAAUGGAAAGCAGAGAGGAACAUUCAUAGUUCUCCUAUUCAUGGUAUCGGAACCAUGUUCUUGUGGCAGAUGUUUCCUUCUUACCUGCUGAAUGUAGAAUUCCUUAAGUCCACAACAUGGCUGAAACUCAAUCACCCAGUGAGACGUCUACUACCAUCCCUCUUCCAACAAAGAAUACACAAGUUCCAGUCAUUCCAACAGCUCUCGACAGUCACUCCUGUUAUGACCCUGGGGAUAGAAUUGUAAUAAGGGAAACUAUUGUAACUGUGGUAACAAGCUAGUGGUUAGAUAGUUAGAACAACCUUUACCAACCUUGGCUGGUAGUUAGCCUUAAUUGAAAGAAGUGCCUUUAAAGAAGGUUGUUGUAGAAGGAGAAGACAUCAUUGAGAAUAAUCAGAAUUCGUUUUCUCUCUCAUUCGUCCAAUUCUUCUCUAUCUCUCUCGUUCUCUUCUCUUUCCGUCUCUCAUUCUCUUUCUUCCUAAGAUUUCCAUCUUUCUUUUAGAAUUCUGUCAAUUGCUUAGCUCUUAAUUGAAGGGCUUGACAAGUGGUAUAAGAGCCGGUGAUAUUCGGCGGAUUCCGAGCGCAGUUGAAGGCGAUGGUUGACGGGUGUAAUUGAAGGCGGAGAAUUUCAGCAAAAAUUGAUCGGAAUUGGGUUGUGCAAUUGAAGGUGGUGGCUGAUUGUCAAUCGGGAGGGGGUCGCGCAAUUGAAGUCAGAAGUGGCGAGCAGAAGCUAGUACGACACGAUCAAGAACCAAGAAAAUUUGAGAUUGUGAAUUCUGACCAUUGACGUUUUGCACAGUUAGUCGGUGACGGACAAGGCGAAUCAUGGCUAAAGGGACACGUUUGAAGCAGCUCGAGGCGCAUAUGGAGGCUUUGGAGUCAAGUGUGGCGCGUACGCAGAAGGAUGAGGCGGCCCAUCGGAGGGAUAUGGUGGCCAUUCGGGAGGGUAUGGCGGCCCAUUGGGAGGACAUGGCAGCCCUUAAGGAUAGCAUAAAGGAGCUGGAGAGGGGCCAAGAAAGGGCAGACUUCUACGACCAGAAGAUCAACAACAUGUUUAACAUGCUGUCCGCCUUACUGCAAUUCCGAUUGUCAGAAGAGUUCCCUCCAAGAUCAGGGUCGGAAGUGCUAUUUGACAAAGAGGGACUUUUGCCUAGGCUGGAGGGGCUGAGGAUGGUGGAAGAUCGGGUUGCAUGGGAACGUGAAACUCACAGAGAUGGGAUCUUGCCUAGGUCGGAGGGGUUGCGGAUGGCUAAUGAUUGGAUUGCAUGGGAACGAGAAGCCAAUGGCAAGAGUCUAGCUUAUUUGAGCGGUGUCCAUACCCCUAUACCACGAUUGGAAAUUCCAAUCUUUGAAGGGGUUGCCCCUCCCCCCUCCCAUUUUUUUGCCCGUUCCUUUUUUUUCCCUGUGCUGUGCUUGUGGCUGUUUGGUGGUCCCUUUCGUCCAGGCCUCCCCCCCCCCCCUAGUUCAAGGGUUCUGUGGUGGUUUCGGUCUGGCUUGUUUCCUUUUGUCGUGGUGACUUCCAUCUUGGUACCAUGGAAUUUGGCAGUGUGCUCCUGCACCAAAUUUUAUUGUGGAAUGGGGUUGUUAUUGGUGGCAGAAGGAUCGAGUCUAGUUCCUUCUCCCCAUGGGUUUUUCAUCUCCCCCUCUCCUGCCUCUUCCAUCUCCCCAAUUGUCAGUAUCCCCUUCCUAUUAUGGGCAAUUAUGGGGUUGUGUGGUUUUGGUCUGGCCUAUUUCCUUCUGCCGUGAUGACUUCCAUUCUAGUACUGUGGAAUUUGGCAGUGUUCUCCUGCACCAAAUUUCAUUGCAGAAUGGGGUUGUCAUUAGCGGUUGAAGGAUUUGGUCUAGUUUCUUCUCUCCAUGGGCCUUUUAGCUGCCCCCCUGCCUCCCCCCUCCCCAUUCCCCCUACUGCCCCGUCUCUCUCUUCCCUCUUUAUUGUGCCGUGCUUGUGGUCUUCUGGUGGCUCUGUCUAUCCAGCUUUUCCUUCCAUUGCCAUGUUGACUGGCCUACUACUGUGGAUUUGAACUAUCUGCUCUUGCCUCCUUCUUCCUCUCGGGCCGGGGAUGUCUUUGUUGAUUGGAGGCUUUUGCAUUUGGUGGGCUCCCAUGGGUUACUCUACUUUUUUCUUUUGGCCCUUUCUCUCUUUAGGGUGACGGUUUACUGUUUUGCUACUCUCUAUUUCUUUCUACCUCGCCGGUUUGAGGCUUUUUAGUUGUAGCCAUGCAGCUCUCUUUUGUUUCUUGUUUUGCUUUGUUUCUCGGUUUGUGUAGUUUUCAUGUUUGCGGGGUAUGUCCCUGCAUUUUCUUGUAAACGCUUUGCACUUUUCUUCUUUAAUGAAUUUUUAUUUACAAAAAAAAAGUCGAGAUGGUGGGUCCGCCACUGUGAGCGGUUCUUCGAACUAUAUCGGGUUGGGGAAGAAGAGAAGGUGACGAUGGCAAUGGUGUAUCUCAACGACACUACGAACGCCUGGUACCAAAGCUAGAAGCAGGCCGAAGGGGGAAUAGUGUCUUGGGUGGCGUUUUCAGAAGAGCUGUGUAGCCGAUUUGGUGAGAGGAGCAUGGCCAACGUGGUGGAAGAGUUUAAUAAAUUGAGGCAAGAAGGGCUGGUGGAAGAUUACUUAAGGAAGUUUGAGGAAUUGAGGGCCUUGAUAGAGAUGGCCCAUCCGAGUUUGCUUGAGCCCAUAGUUCUAAAAGGCGAGAGGAGCAUCGAGGUGCAAAGGGUCCUGGAGCCUGAGGCGCGAGGCACACGAGGCGAGGCGUGCCUUUGCGAAGCAAGGCGCACCUUUUAGAAAAAAAACUCAAAAUUUUGUAAAAUCAUAAACAACUAUCAAAUUAUCAAUAAUAACACAUGCAUAUCAUUCAUGAUUCAUCAUCUUCAAAUUCUAAACUAACAACAUCAAAGUUGAUUCAUUCAUCAUGCAAAUUCUAAACUAAAAACAUCAUCAAAGUUCAAACUCAAAGUCUCAAAUUCAAACAAGUACCAAUUAUCAUGCAAAGUUCUAAACAAACACAUAAAUACUACAAGUCCACAAUCAAUAAAGAAAUUUUAAUCAAUCAUCAUCAAGAAGACCAUCAACAUCAAGGUCAAUAUCUUCAUCAUCCCCUUCAAUCACCCCUUCAUCUUUUUCUUCCUCUCCCAAUUCUUCUCCUUCUUCCAAGUCUUCAUCAUUUUCGGUCUCUGUCUCACUUUCCUCCUCCUCUUCAUCUCCUGAGUUACUCGCUGCUUUGAAGUCGAAGCCGAAGUUGAACCAGAUUGUGAUCGAGUUUGUUUAAUUCUAAAUCGAUAACUAGGCUCUCCAACUCCUGCAGCUGCAACGACAUUACUCCAUGUCAACCCAUCCCCAAUGUCAUCUGGAAAAAUAGUUUCAUCAUCUUUAUCAUUCUCCUCAUCAAGCUUUCCAGUCAACCAUUCAUUGCUUUCAUCAAUGUGGGUCAAUAUGAUAGGUUCAAUGGUAUCACACAUUUGAUACCGAUGCCUCAAUGCUCUAUUGUAUUUUACAAACACUAAGUCGUUUAACGAAGUUGAUCAAGCCUGCUUCUCCGUUUAGUAUGAAGCUGCAACAAUUUAUGCAAAAACAUACUAAGAAUAAGUUACAUGAAACAAACUAAUUGCUAAUAAAAAUUGUAAGUGUUAUUUGUACAAUGCACUUACAUUUUCAAACACACUCUAAUUACGUUCACACUCAGAUGAACUACAAGUCAAGUUAAGAAUUUUAAUUGCAAAAUUUUGCAAUGUGGGUGUUGACAUUCCAUAUUAAGCCCACCAUUCAACUGUCCAAUAAAAUUCAUGGGUUAAUUAUCAUCUAUUAUCUAGAAUGAUUAUAUAUAUAAUGUAAUAUAUAUAUGUGUAUACCUGGUGAUUUCUCAGUUCUCUUUCAAAUAGCCAUAUAGUUUCCAAAGAACCCAUUUGUCUUGUUAUACAUUGAAAACUUAGCAUCAAUUUGGUCUUGAACCUUUACUUCUGGAUUUAACUUUUUAAUGUAUUCAUAUAAGCCAGUCACGAUCUCUGGAUUUAUACGUUUAGCCUUAUAAAAAUAUUAUGGAUUCGAGUACCAACCAGCAGUGUGCAGGGGGCGAUGAAGCUAAAUAUCUCAUCGAUUAUCAAUGAUCUGAAAAAUGGGUGCAUACUUCUUUUCAUCCCUAUUAAAAGAGUUAGCAAUCGCUUCUUUGGCCCUAUCCAUGGCCUCAUAUAUGUAUCCCAUAGCCGGCUUCUUCUCACCAUCCACCAAGCGCAGUACACGCACCAAUGGACCGGCUACCUUUAAAGCAUAUACAACAUUGUUCCAAAAUGAAGGCAUCAAAAUCACUUCUACAACCUUUUUAGCCCCCGCUUCUUUUACCCACUUGCUUGUCAUCCACUCCUUAGAGGUAAACAUCCUUCUAAGGUUGCUUUUCAGACUAUGCAUCCUGCCUAAAGUGAUAAAGGCAGUUGCAAACUGUGUUUUUACAGGCCUCAACAACUCUUUCUAGUCAGUAAACCUUCUAAGCAUGUUUACUAGACCCAAACGAGUAUGGAUGUAGCUAUUCACCAUAACAACUCUCUUAAAUGUCUUAUUUAUAUUAGGUAACUUGAAAAUAUCUUCCAACAUUAAAUCCAAGCAAUGCGCUGCACAUGGUGUCCAAAACAACGUAGGAUAUUUUGCCUCCAAAAAUCUUCCCGAUAUUAUUUAGAGUGAAAUUAACAAGAUAUUAGUAAAUAAUAAAUAUCUAAUGAAUAUUCAAAUUGUUCUAUUUAUAAACAUAAUACAAAUUACAAAAAUAAAUUUCAUACCUGCUAAAACAUUGUUUGAAGCACUAUCGGUGAGCACUUGCACCACAUUUCUUACUUCAAUCUUUUCCACACAUUUACUUAAUAAUUGAAACAUCUUUUCCCCAGUCUUUGAAUAGCUGGAACCAUCAAUAGACUUCAAAAACAUACUUUCUUUAGGAUAAUUGACUAAAAAGUUAAUCAAUGUCCUUUCCCUCUUGUCUUUCUAGCCAUUUGACAAAAUGGAACAUCCAUAUUUGGCCCGCGCCUCUUCAUGAUCUUUCAUCAUUGUACGAGUGGCUUCCAUCUCUUAUUUGAGAAGGGGAACCUUGACUUCAUGGUAACUAGGCGGCUUCACACCCGGAUCAUACUGGCCAACUGCUUCUAUAAAGACUUUAAAACUGUUAUAUGUCAUUGCAUUGAAUGGAAUGCCUUCAUUAUACAUCCAUCGUGCAAAGCUUCUACAAACUUGAGCUCUUAACCCCUUUUUUUUGUAAAAUCAUUCUCACCCAACCUUGUUUGCCUUCCUUUGCUCUUGCUUUUCAACACAGUAACUUCUGGGUCUUUAAGAAAAACAUCAAGUGGACCCUUUUGUGCUGGCCCUUUAACACUACCAAUACUACUAGUACCACUUCCACUUUUGAUAGAUACAUUGUGUCUUUUUCUACUUUGUGGCGGGCCUGGUGGCUCCUCCUCCUUAUCAUACCCUUCACCAAAUUGACAAUCAUCAUCUAACGAUGCCAUAUUUCGCUCAUCCUUGUCAUCAUUCUUCUUCUUUUGCAUGUACUCUUCAAUCUCUUGUUUUACUGAUGGAGGACAUUUUGGACAAGUUUUAGUAUUCCUAAAACCACCCACAAGAUGUUGUUUCACCUGAAAUAUACCACAUUUUGUUACUUUACAACAAAAUUUACAUGUGAUGGUAUUUCUAUCAUUAGGAUCAACUUCAAAGUAAUUCCAUGCCAGAUCAGUUUUGGAAGUUGUUAACGACAUUGACUGGGCUAUUGCAACACAGUUCUAAUUUCCACAAAAUUCUCCAAUCAACAAGAAAACAACAACUGUAUAAAGAGAGAGCAACAAUGAGAAAUUAAGCAAGUAGGCAAGAAAUAAUCAAAUAAAACAAGAAAAGAACUCGUGAGAGCAGGCUGGAACCAAGAAUGGCAGCUGGUUUUGGUGGGCAGCGGGUUGCUUGACAGCUUGAAGAGCAGAGGAGAAGAGAUGAGAGGAAGAGAGGAGAAGACGAGAGAAGAAGAGAGUGAGCCGUGAGCUGCGAGCAUAGGAGAAGAGAGGAGAGGAGAGGAAGAGAGGAGGCGGGCGCAGCUUGAUAGCAACGAAAGGAAGAUCAAGCUGAUUGGUGGCUAACGCUAGAGAAGAUGGGAGUUUUCGGUGGCUGGACAGCUUGAGGAGGGUGUUUUCGACGACUCCCAUGGUGUUUCCAGCUGCUGGCUUAAAGGUUAAAAGGAAAGAGAGAAGAUGGGAAUGAUGUCAGGACUCGGGAGGAAGAUGGGAUGGGAGUGACGAGCCUCAACUUGUGCUGCCUAGGUUUUAAAUAAAACCUAGGUUUCUUGAGGUGCGUCUAGGCGAUCCUCACACCUCGGUGCCUUACUGUGUAAGGCAAGGGCCUCCUGGAAAACGUGUCGCCUCAGCCCAGUCGAGGCGCUAAACUGGCGCCUUAAGGCGCCUUUAACAUCUAUGCCUGAGCCUUACUUUGUGUUGAGUUUUAUUAACGGGUUGUGGGAUGAUCUACGAUUGGUGGUCAAGAUGCUAGGGCCAUUGUCGGUUAAACAAGCUGCAGAAAAGGCACAAUUGCAAGAAUUGACAUGGGAAGCUGUAUUCAAGAAGAACAAGGAGUGGACACAGCCUUGUUCGCAGCCUAGUCAAGGCCUAAACGCAGAGUCUGAGGGUAAUCUCAAGGCUGUAACAUGGGCAGCAGGUAAAGGAGAGGCUAAGAAUGCUACUGGUCCAGGGGCAAACAAGAAUCAAAUUAUGGAACAAAGGGGACAAUUGGGCCUAUGCUUCAAGUGUGGUGAGAAGUACAGUUUGGGGCACCAAUGUCAAAGGUUAUGCUGAGAAUGGAGGGUUCUCAUGAAGAGGGUGCGGAAGAAGAGGAACGGUUUGAAGAAGAAUAUGUUUCCCAUGAGAAAAUAGGUGAGUGCAGGGUGAUCAUCGGAGAAGAAUUACAACUGUAUUCUAUACAGCCUGAAGUCCUUGAAGGAAAGGCUGAUGUAGCAAAGGAACAACCAGAGGCAAACGUUGCUACACUUCUACUACUCAAAAGGGAAAAACAAACAGUAAGAAGAAGAGAAGGAGGCAGCAAGCAGUGAAAGCAGGGAUUGGUUGAACGUAGCCAUCACCGUAGAUUCUUAGGUAAAUUCUUGGGGACAAGAAUUUUCUUAAGAGGAGGGGAAUUGUUACGACCUCAGGGAUAGAAUUGUAAUAAGGGAAACUAUUGUAACCGUGGUAACAAGCUAGUGGUUAGAUAGUUAGAAUAGCCUAAACCAACCUUGGCUAGUAGUUAGCCUUAACUGAAAGAAGCGCCUUUGAAGAAGGCUAUUGUAGAAGGAGAAGGCAUCAUUGAGAAUAAUCAAAAUCCAUUUUCUCUCGCAUUUGUCUCAAUUCUUCUCUAUCUCUCUUGUUCUCUUCUCUUUCCCUCUCUCAUUCUCUUUCUUCCUAAGAUUUCUAUCUUUCUUUCGGAAUUCUUCUCGAAAUUCUGUCAAUUACCCAACUCUUAAUUGAAGGGCUUGACAUUUCAGAUUACUCAGCAUAAAUUGAAUGGAACCAACUUUAGAGAAUGGUCCCAAUAAGUUAUGCUGGUAGUUCGGGGAAAAGGGAAGGUUGGUUAAUUGACAAGAGCAAUUUCUAAGCCUAGCACAGAAUUAGCAACCUAUGGCGAUUGAGAGGUAGAGAAUGCCAUUGUCAUGGCUUGGUUGGUCAAUUCAAUGGAACCAAAAAUUGAAAGAAUCUACUUGUUCUACAUGACAGGCAAGGAAAUUUGGGAAGCUGUAUAAGAAAUAUAGUCAGACAUGGAGAACAUUGCUUAAUGUUUCCAAAUUCGGUCUACUAUUCGAACCACAAGGCAAGGUACUAAAUUUGUUAUUGAAUAUUACAAUACUCUAAUAGAAUUGUGGUAGGAGAUGAAACUAUUCUAUGAAAUCAUUUGGGAGUGUUUUGAAGAUGGAAGAAAAUAUGACAAGAUGAUAGAAAAUGAGAGAAUGUUUUAACUUUCUACAUGACCUCAAUUUUGAUCUAGAUGAAGUAAGAGGCAAAUUACUUGGAACAAAGCCUUUUCCAUCUAUAAAGGAAGCUUUUGUAGAAGUUAGGCGAGAAGAAAGCAAGAAGAAGGUGAUGCUAACUGCAUCAAGGCCUUCCAAUAACGAUGUAUAUACACAAACAUCAACCUUGGCUACUUCAUGGAUGAAAUCACCUAACACAUCUAGAGAAGAGUCCCAGAAGGAUAAACAGUGGUGUGAUCAUUGCAAUAAGCUUUACCAUACAAGGGAGACAUGUUGGAAAAUUCAUAGAAAACCAGCAAAUUGGAAGCCAAGGAAUCAAAGGAAGGGGAGUCAAUCUGACUAUGUGGUAGAGGCCGAAGCUGGAAAACCAACUAAUCUAACUCUAUUAGCAGAUUAGUUGGAAGUGUUACAUCUGUUGUUGAGCCAAACCAAGGUGAUUAAAUCUGAAGCUGCAGAUAAUCCUAAUCCGGUAGUAUGUAUGGCCAAACAAGGUACAUCUAGAUACUCCUUAAUCUCUCAUAAAUUCUCUACAGACUAUUAGAUAAUAGAUACAGUGGCUUCGAACCACAUGACUAGUUCACUUAAGAUGUUAUCAGGUUAUAAACCUUGUGAUUAAGGUAUUACUAUUUCUAUGGCUGAUGGUGGUACAACAUCUAUGGCUCAAGAAAAAGGAACAAUUUUUGUGGCAGGCUUAAUCCUAAAAUCAAUACUAUAUGUGCCUAAUUUAAAAUGUAACUUGCUAUUAGCAAGCAAACUAACUAGAGAAAUGAGUUGUUUGAUAACAUUUUUCCUAUCUUAUUGUGAAUUUCAGGACCUAUCUUCAGGGAAGAUGAUUGGCAGUGCUAAGGAGAAAGUAGGUCUCUAUCAUAUUCCAAGACUUGGUCAUUCUCUUGGAUCUAGUUGUUAGCUUUGAAAUGUGGCACCUGCAGUUGGUUACUGGAAUAGUUAUAGUGGUAUCUUCAUGCCGAUACUUGCUAUUAAAGACAUGGCCAGACUUUGCAGAGUCUACUGAAGCAGCAAAUAGGCAGGUUCUUACUUC
Molecule: RNA transcript, 9661 nt
Organism: Diospyros lotus (date-plum)
Lineage: Eukaryota; Viridiplantae; Streptophyta; Magnoliopsida; Ericales; Ebenaceae
Exons: 3
Source: RefSeq, a predicted model, not a curated record